GUUAAGUGACUAAGCGUAUACGGUGGAUGCCUUGGCAGUUAGAGGCGAUGAAGGACGUGUAAGUCUGCGAAAAGCUGUGGUGAGCCGACAAAAUGCAUUUGAGCCACAGAUGUCCGAAUGGGGAAACCCACCUAUUUAUAGGUAUCGUUACAUGAAUAUAUAGUGUAACGAGGCGAACGAGGGGAACUGAAACAUCUAAGUACCCUUAGGAAAAGAAAUCAACCGAGAUUCCCCUAGUAGCGGCGAGCGAACGGGGAUUAGCCCUUAAGCAAUUAUGAACGUAGUGGAAGCCUCUGGGAAGUGGCGCGAUACAAGGUGAUAGCCCUGUACACGAAGUGUUUGUUUUUGUGAAAUCGAGUAGGUCGGGACACGUGUUAUCUUGACUGAAUAUGGGGGGACCAUCCUCCAAGGCUAAAUUCUCCUAACUGACCGAUAGUGAA
RNAcentral lists this ribosomal RNA (440 nucleotides) under uncultured Thalassiosira. RNAcentral describes it as "partial Bacterial large subunit ribosomal RNA". It matches the Rfam family "Bacterial large subunit ribosomal RNA", at positions 1 to 494 of the family's 2925-position model. The record is from RNAcentral. Lineage: Eukaryota; Bacillariophyta; Thalassiosirophyceae; Thalassiosirales; Thalassiosiraceae.